Molecule: ribosomal RNA, 482 nt
Filed under: uncultured bacterium
Lineage: Bacteria
Description: partial 16S ribosomal RNA
Rfam family: Bacterial small subunit ribosomal RNA
Source: RNAcentral
AUUGAACGCUGGCGGCAUGCUUUACACAUGCAAGUCGAACGGUAACAGGCCGCCAGGUGCUGACGAGUGGCGAACGGGUGAGUAAUGCAUCGGAACGUGCCCCGUCGUGGGGGGUAACUACUCGAAAGAGUAGCUAAUACCGCAUACGAUCUAUGGAUGAAAGCGGGGGACCGUAAGGCCUCGCGCUAUUUGAGCUGUCGAUGUCAGAUUAGGUAGUUGGUGGGGUAAAGGCUCACCAAGCCAACGAUCUGUAGCUGGUCUGAGAGGACGACCAGCCACACUGGAACUGAGACACGGCCCAGACUCCUACGGGAGGCAGCAGUGGGGAAUUUUGGACAAUGGGCGCAAGCCUGAUCCAGCAAUGCCGCGUGCAGGAAGAAGGCCUUCGGGUUGUAAACUGCUUUUGUACGGAACGAAACGGCUCUGGUUAAUACCCGGGGCUAAUGACGGUACCGUAAGAAUAAGCACCGGCUAACUACGUG